GAUGAACGCUGGCGGCGUGCCUAAUACAUGCAAGUCGAGCGAACGGACGAGAAGCUUGCUUCUCUGAUGUUAGCGGCGGACGGGUGAGUAACACGUGGAUAACCUACCUAUAAGACUGGGAUAACUUCGGGAAACCGGAGCUAAUACCGGAUAAUAUUUUGAACCGCAUGGUUCAAAAGUGAAAGACGGUCUUGCUGUCUCUUAUAGAUGGAUCCGCGCUGCAUUAGCUAGUUGGUAAGGUAACGGCCUACCAAGGCAACGAUGCAUAGCCGACCUGAGAGGGUGAUCGGCCACACUGGAACUGAGACACGGUCCAGACUCCUACGGGAGGCAGCAGUAGGGAAUCUUCGGCAAUGGGCGAAAGCCUGACGGAGCAACGCCGCGUGAGUGAUGAAGGUCUUCGGAUCGUAAAACUCUGUUAUUAGGGAAGAACAUAUGUGGAAGUAACUGUGCACAUCUUGACGGUACCUAAUCAGAAAGCCACGGCUAACUACGUG
This 497-nucleotide ribosomal RNA is filed under the name uncultured bacterium. Its description in RNAcentral is "partial 16S ribosomal RNA". It matches the Rfam family "Bacterial small subunit ribosomal RNA", at positions 28 to 507 of the family's 1533-position model. The record is from RNAcentral.